GUCCCGGGCAUAGGCGGAGCGAGCGGCAGUCUUGCUCUUCACAGAGCUUUGAGGAGCUGGACCAAAAUUGUGCUCCACAGAGAGAAGACACCGGUGCCGGGAAGCACCAGUGCCCUGAGGAAGGGCCAUUUCUAAAAGCCCUGUGCUGACACAGGGGUGCUGGUUCGUCUUCAAGAGCCCACUCUCUGGGGUGGGGCCAUAUCUCCAGCAGAGGUGGGCUGGAAAGGAUCCCCCCACCCUGCCCGCCGUGAGCUUAGCUGGAGCCAUGGCCUCUGCACGCCUCUGGACGCUUGCGAUGCUCUUCACAUUGAGUGGGCUGAGAGCUCAGUCAGUGGCUCAGCCGGAAGAUGAGGUCACGGUCGCUGAAGGGAAUCCUCUGACUGUGAAAUGCACCUAUUCAGUCUCUGGAAACCCUUAUCUUUUUUGGUAUAUUCAAUACCCCAAUGAAGGCCUCCAGUUCCUUCUGAAAUACAUCACAGGGGACAACCUGGUUAAAGGCAGCUAUGGCUUUGAAGCUGAAUUUAACAAGAGCCAAACCUCCUUCCACCUGAAGAAACCAUCUGCCCUUGUGAGCGACUCCGCUUUGUACUUCUGUGCUGUGAGAGACACACACUGAUAGGGGCUGCAGGGGGAGCAGAACACAAACUCUUGAGUCUAGUAAAGCCCAUUUUCUUGACGUCUUUGUUCCUUCACAUGAGAGCGGUGGGGUUCUAGGAUAUGUCACUUAUUAUGUUAAACUACAAUUUUAAACCAUAGAAUUUGCUCAUUCAGGAAGUGUUUAUUGAGUCCUGAUGUGCCAGGUACUGGGCUAAGCACCGGUCAUAAAAAGGUGAAAGAAGUGUAAAACAAAUAGAAAAAAACAUGGGGGAAAAUUACCAUGACAUUGGUCUGGGCAAGAAGUUCCUUCCUUCCUUCCUUCCUUCCUUCCUCCCUCCCUCCCUCUCUCUCUUUCUUUCUUUCUGAAAAGGGGUUUAUUUUCAACAGACAUUUCUUUUUAUACCGAGGUGAAAUGUCAUCAUCAUAAUAAUUUUGCAAUGUUACAUACCCUGUUGAGACCAUUAAAAAAAUUAGGUUCAUGGUAUACAUGUCCAAGUUUGUAGAAAAAACAAUUGUGUGAUGCUGUGGUUUGCACAUCUAUUGAUCCUGCCACCCAAAGAGUGAACAUAGUACCCAGGAGAAAGCUUUUUGUCUCUUGUGAGCAAGGAAUUUUUGGAUAUGACCCCAAAAGCACAGGCAACAAAAGCAAAAAUAGACAAAUGGUACUAUAUUAAACUAAAAAACUUCUGCACAGCAAAAGAAACAAACAGAGUGAAGAGAAAGCCUAUGGAAUGGGAGGAAAUAUUUGCAAACUCUACAUCUGAUAAGGGGUUAACAUUCAAAAUGUUUAAGAAGCUCACAUACCAAAAACACCCAAAUAAGCUGAUUAAAAAAUAGGCCAAGGAACUGAAUAGCCGUUUCUCAAAUGAAGGCAUAAAAAUGGCCAAGAAGUAUAUAAAAAAUGCCCAACAUCAUUAAUUAUCAGGAACGUGCAAAUUAAGACCACCAUUAGAUAUCACCUCACAACCUAUUAGGUUGGCUAUUAUC
Non-coding RNA from Pongo pygmaeus (Bornean orangutan), 1584 nucleotides. The record is from the annotation of a RefSeq genome assembly. Lineage: Eukaryota; Metazoa; Chordata; Mammalia; Primates; Hominidae.